This is a long non-coding RNA of Fundulus heteroclitus (mummichog), 665 nucleotides long. RefSeq lists it as uncharacterized. The transcript has 3 exons. Lineage: Eukaryota; Metazoa; Chordata; Actinopteri; Cyprinodontiformes; Fundulidae. The record is from RefSeq and is a predicted model, not a curated record.
CGGACGGUGUGCCGGGAAUGGAGUGGCCGAGUACAUCCAUGGCAACCAGUAAGGUGUUCGUUAGUGGCCUAGAUGGUAUGACCUUAGGUGAGGAGGUCUGCUGUGUGGAAAUCGCCUUCUUGGUCUGACUCUUGCUGCCAAGGUACCCCUUAUUACGGCUGUUUGCCUUUCUCUCAUCUCCGAUGCACUUUGAGUGAAUCCUUAACCUCAGCCUGAUAUAUGUUGAAAGGUUUUUUUUUUCAGCUCAUGGCAUGAGGGAAGGUUGCUGUCCAGACUCAUGGCCUCUCUUUCCAGCUGUUCCACUACGUUGGAGGAUUCCAUAAGGGAAUCACUCGUCUGGGAACGGAAGAGGUGCUCCACGUGCUGCAGGAGAGUGAACAGCUCAUCGCAUGGCCGUGCACAUUGGCAUUCCUCACAGAGCGAGAAGCUGAUGACCCUCUUCGCUAUGUAUCCUGCCAGGUGGUAGAGGACACAAGACUCGGUCUUUGUGAGGUCAGGUGGGUCUACCAGCUGCUCCACUCUCACAACCUCAGAAGCACUGCAGUUGCUGUUCUUGUUGUCCAAGAAGUCCGCCAAGUGGUCUGAUGCAUCAUCCAGAUCUUGCUGGACCAGCAGUAUCGUUGUUGUGGCCAUCACAGGUUUCAGUGGAGCGCCCCCCCCCCCCC